GGAAAAUGUCCCAAUUCAAGCACUUGUACACCAGUGGGUUGAGCUGUUUACGUGGUCCUCCAGCCAAAACGCGGAAGGAUAAUGCGGAUCCAUUUGUAAGAAGAAACAUCCAGACCAUUUCCACCGUUUUGCCUGAUUGUUGUAAAGAAAAUAUAUUGGCACGAACUCCUGGUCUAAGGAAGUUAGGAAUUCGUGGGAAGUUAGCUACACUUGUGGCUACAAAUGGAGACUCAAGCUUGUUCGAUAAUCUUGCCAAAUUGGACAACCUGGAGACUCUGAAGCUGCUUAAUGACACAUUUCCUCUCCCCCCAUCCCAAUGUCAAAUACCCGGUCUUCCCCAAUCGUACAAGUUCCCGCCAAACCUGAAGAAGCUGAC
Molecule: unclassified non-coding RNA, 376 nt
Filed under: Hevea brasiliensis (rubber tree)
Lineage: Eukaryota; Viridiplantae; Streptophyta; Magnoliopsida; Malpighiales; Euphorbiaceae
Source: RNAcentral